RNAcentral lists this unclassified non-coding RNA (343 nucleotides) under soil metagenome. Its description in RNAcentral is "partial contains 5.8S ribosomal RNA, internal transcribed spacer 2, and large subunit ribosomal RNA". The stretch from base 1 to 120 matches the Rfam family "5.8S ribosomal RNA", at positions 35 to 154 of the family's 154-position model. The record is from RNAcentral.
GAUGAAGAACGCAGCGAAAUGCGAUAAGUAAUGUGAAUUGCAGAAUUCAGUGAAUCAUCGAAUCUUUGAACGCACAUUGCGCCCGCCAGCAUUCUGGCGGGCAUGCCUGUUCGAGCGUCAUUUCAACCCUCGACCUCCCCUUGGGGAGGUCGGCGUUGGGGACCGGCAGCACACCGCCGGCCCUGAAAUGGAGUGGCGGCCCGUCCGCGGCGACCUCUGCGUAGUAAUACAGCUCGCACCGGAACCCCGACGCGGCCACGCCGUAAAACACCCAACUUCUGAACGUUGACCUCGAAUCAGGUAGGACUACCCGCUGAACUUAAGCAUAUCAAUAAGCGGAGGA